Molecule: ribosomal RNA, 491 nt
Filed under: uncultured bacterium
Lineage: Bacteria
Description: partial 16S ribosomal RNA
Rfam family: Bacterial small subunit ribosomal RNA
Source: RNAcentral
AGUGAACGCUGGCGGUAGGCCUAACACAUGCAAGUCGAACGGCAGCACAGUAAGAGCUUGCUCUUACGGGUGGCGAGUGGCGGACGGGUGAGGAAUACAUCGGAAUCUACUUUUUCGUGGGGGAUAACGUAGGGAAACUUACGCUAAUACCGCAUACGACCUACGGGUGAAAGCAGGGGAUCUUCGGACCUUGCGCGAUUGAAUGAGCCGAUGUCGGAUUAGCUAGUUGGCGGGGUAAAGGCCCACCAAGGCGACGAUCCGUAGCUGGUCUGAGAGGAUGACAGCCCACACUGGAAUUGAACAACGGUCAAGCCCCCUAGGGGAGGGCGCGGGGGGGAAUUUUGGAAAAGGGGCGCAAGCCUGAUCCAGCCAUACCGGGGGGGGGAAGAAGGCCUUCGGGUUGUAAAGCCCUUUUUUUGGGAAAAAAAAGCAGCGGGUUAAUACCCCGCUGUUCUGACGGUACCAAAAGAAUAAGCACCGGCUAACUUCGU